AGAGUUUGUAACACCCAAAGUCGGUGGGGUAACCUUUUAGGAGCCAGCCGCCUAAGGUGGGACAGAUGAUUAGGGUGAAGUCGUAACAAGGUAGCCGUAGGAGAACCUGCGGCUGGAUCACCUCCUUUCUAAGGAAUUAAUCGGGAACCCUACACAUUGUCGAAACAGUGGUCCAGUUUUGAGGGGGUUACCCUCUUCAGCUUGGACCUUGAAACUAAUUAUUAUCCAUUUCCUAUUUAAAAUCCAAGGAAACCCGGAAAACCCCGGGCGUAUUUGAGUUUUAACCGAUUAUAUUCGCUUCUCACUUACCUUGACUGAUCCUACCGAUCCAGUAAGGGUUAAGUUAUGAAGGGCGCCAUGGUGAAUGCCUUGGGUACUAGGAGCCCGAUGAAGGACGGGACUAACACCGAUAUGCUUCGGGGAGCGGUAAGUACGCUUUGAUCCGGAGAUGUCCGAAUGGGGAAACCCAAUCAUCUUAGUCGAUGAUUACUUGAGCAGUGAAUUCAUAGCUGCCAAGAGGUAG
This 523-nucleotide unclassified non-coding RNA is filed under the name Limosilactobacillus fermentum. RNAcentral describes it as "Lactobacillus fermentum partial contains 16S ribosomal RNA, 16S-23S intergenic spacer, and 23S ribosomal RNA". The stretch from base 337 to 523 matches the Rfam family "Bacterial large subunit ribosomal RNA", at positions 1 to 183 of the family's 2925-position model. Lineage: Bacteria; Bacillati; Bacillota; Bacilli; Lactobacillales; Lactobacillaceae. The record is from RNAcentral.